GGAAGUAAAAGUCGUAACAAGGUCUCCGUUGGUGAACCAGCGGAGGGAUCAUUACUGAGUUAUCAAAACUCCAAACCCUUUGUGAACCUUACCGUCGUUGCCUCGGCGUGAGCUACGGCUACCCUGUAACUACCCUGGAGCUACCCUAGAGUUACCCUAUAGCUACCCUGCACUUACCCUGCAGCUACCCUAUAGCUACCCUGGAGCUACCCUGGAGCUACCCUGUAGUCGGCUUCGGCCCGCCGAAGGACCGUUAAACUCUUGUUUUUACCACUGUUUCUCUGAACUUUAAACUAAAAUAAGUUAAAACUUUCAACAACGGAUCUCUUGGUUCUGGCAUCGAUGAAGAACGCAGCGAAAUGCGAUAAGUAAUGUGAAUUGCAGAAUUCAGUGAAUCAUCGAAUCUUUGAACGCACAUUGCGCCCACUAGUAUUCUAGUGGGCAUGCCUAUUCGAGCGUCAUUUCGACCCCUAAGCCCCUGUUGCUUAGCGUUGGGAAUCUACGGCGUAGUUCCUCAAAGUUAGUGGCGGAGUUAGGGUACACUCUCAGCGUAGUAAUUUCUCUCGCUCGUGUGGUGGCCCUGGCUGCUAGCCGUUAAAACCCCUAUAUUUUCUAGUGGUUGACCUCGGAUUAGGUAGGAAUACCCGCUGAACUUAAGCAUAUCAAUAAGCGGAGG
This 676-nucleotide ribosomal RNA is filed under the name fungal sp. FEX2. RNAcentral describes it as "eukaryotic LSU rRNA". The stretch from base 308 to 461 matches the Rfam family "5.8S ribosomal RNA". The record is from RNAcentral. Lineage: Eukaryota; Fungi.